RNAcentral lists this ribosomal RNA (228 nucleotides) under Carelis australis. Its description in RNAcentral is "partial 12S small subunit ribosomal RNA". The record is from RNAcentral. Lineage: Eukaryota; Metazoa; Arthropoda; Insecta; Lepidoptera; Noctuidae.
UUAAUUUAUAAUUUUAUAUAUCGUUGUUUUAAAAAUAUUUUUUAAUAAAAUUAAUAUUUAAAAAUUAAUAUUAGAAAUUAAAUCAGAUCAAGAUGUAGAUUAUAGUUAAGAAUAUAAUGGAUUACAAUAAAUUUAUUUAAAUGAAUAUUAAUUUGUAAGAGUUGAUUGAAGGUGGAUUUAAAUGUAAUUUUAUUUAAUUUAAUAAAAUGAUUUAAAAUUAAAAUAUGU